AGGGAGAUUGGAAUUCCUGGUGUAGCGGUGGAAUGCGCAGAUAUCAGGAGGAACACCGAUGGCGAAGGCAGAUCUCUGGGCCGUAACUGACGCUGAGGAGCGAAAGGGUGGGGAGCAAACAGGCUUAGAUACCCUGGUAGUCCACCCCGUAAACGUUGGGAACUAGUUGUGGGGUCCAUUCCACGGAUUCCGUGACGCAGCUAACGCAUUAAGUUCCCCGCCUGGGGAGUACGGCCGCAAGGCUAAAACUCAAAGGAAUUGACGGGGACCCGCACAAGCGGCGGAGCAUGCGGAUUAAUUCGAUGCAACGCGAAGAACCUUACCAAGGCUUGACAUAUACGAGAACGGGCCAGAAAUGGUUAACUCUUUGGACACUCGUAAACAGGUGGUGCAUGGUUGUCGUCAGCUCGUGUCGUGAGAUGUUGGGUUAAGUCCCGCAACGAGCGCAACCCUCGUUCUAUGUUGCCAGCACGUAAUGGUGGGAACUCAUGGGAUACUGCCGGGGUCAACUCGGAGGAAGGUGGGGAUGACGUCAAAUCAUCAUGCCCCUUAUGUCUUGGGCUUCACGCAUGCUACAAUGGCCGGUACAAAGGGCUGCAAUACCGCGAGGUGGAGCGAAUCCCAAAAAGCCGGUCCCAGUUCGGAUUGAGGUCUGCAACUCGACCUCAUGAAGUCGGAGUCGCUAGUAAUCGCAGAUCAGCAACGCUGCGGUGAAUACGUUCCCGGGUCUUGUACACACCGCCCGUCAAGUCAUGAAAGUCGGUAACACCUGAAGCCGGUGGCCUAACCCUUGUGGAGGGAGCCGUCGAAUAUAAUGCCGAAGCCCCCC
RNAcentral lists this ribosomal RNA (829 nucleotides) under Microbacterium sp. WS_8S. Its description in RNAcentral is "bacterial SSU rRNA". It matches the Rfam family "Bacterial small subunit ribosomal RNA", at positions 654 to 1477 of the family's 1533-position model. Lineage: Bacteria; Bacillati; Actinomycetota; Actinomycetes; Micrococcales; Microbacteriaceae. The record is from RNAcentral.